RNAcentral lists this transfer RNA (73 nucleotides) under endosymbiont of Sipalinus gigas. It matches the Rfam family "tRNA". From Rfam's summary of the family: Transfer RNA (tRNA) molecules are approximately 80 nucleotides in length. Their secondary structure includes four short double-helical elements and three loops (D, anti-codon, and T loops). Further hydrogen bonds mediate the characteristic L-shaped molecular structure. tRNAs have two regions of fundamental functional importance: the anti-codon, which is responsible for specific mRNA codon recognition, and the 3' end, to which the tRNAs corresponding amino acid is attached (by aminoacyl-tRNA synthetases). tRNAs cope with the degeneracy of the genetic code in two manners: having more than one tRNA (with a specific anti-codon) for a particular amino acid; and 'wobble' base-pairing, i.e. permitting non-standard base-pairing at the 3rd anti-codon position. The record is from Rfam by way of RNAcentral. Lineage: Bacteria; Pseudomonadati; Pseudomonadota; Gammaproteobacteria.
GCGGAAGUAACUCAAUAGGUAGAGUAUAAUCUUGCCAAGAUUAAGGUUGCGAGUUCAAAUCUCGUCUUCCGCU